GUCUCUAGAAGUACCUGGUGCAAAAGGCC
Molecule: non-coding RNA, 29 nt
Filed under: Rattus norvegicus (Norway rat)
Lineage: Eukaryota; Metazoa; Chordata; Mammalia; Rodentia; Muridae
Source: RNAcentral